RNAcentral lists this ribosomal RNA (253 nucleotides) under uncultured bacterium. RNAcentral describes it as "partial 16S ribosomal RNA". It matches the Rfam family "Bacterial small subunit ribosomal RNA", at positions 524 to 776 of the family's 1533-position model. The record is from RNAcentral.
UACAGAGGGUGCAAGCGUUAAUCGGAAUUACUGGGCGUAAAGCGCGCGUAGGCGGCUUUGUAAGUUAGAGGUGAAAGCCCGGGGCUCAACCCCGGAACUGCCUUUAAGACUGCAUCGCUUGAAUCCGGGAGAGGUGAGUGGAAUUCCGAGUGUAGAGGUGAAAUUCGUAGAUAUUCGGAAGAACACCAGUGGCGAAGGCGGCUCACUGGACCGGUAUUGACGCUGAGGUGCGAAAGCGUGGGGAGCAAACAGG